RNAcentral lists this transfer RNA (69 nucleotides) under Sphaerodactylus townsendi. RNAcentral describes it as "tRNA-Ala". Lineage: Eukaryota; Metazoa; Chordata; Lepidosauria; Squamata; Sphaerodactylidae. The record is from RNAcentral.
GCCGUGGCUCAGUGGAAGAGUGUCUGCUUUGCAUACAGCGGGUCCCGGGUUCGAUCCCAGGCUGCAUCU